GUUGCGAGUUGGGCAACUGAAGGAAGCCGGUGGCAAACCUCUGACCGUGGCGGACAGAAACUUCAUACAAGGCAUUUGAUUGUGGAUGGGAUUGUCAUACAGUUCAAAGUCCCAUUGCUGUUCGGAACGGUUGGUGUAAACUAUACGACG
Molecule: non-coding RNA, 150 nt
Filed under: pig gut metagenome
Source: RNAcentral